CAGACGAGAUUUUAUCCCGGCCCACCCCGGUGUUUUCCUCUCGUCAUCGGCCGGGAAAUAUUCAGCUUCUCUGGUGGCGAGGAAAAAAAUCCUCUCGACGCAGCGACGCAACGAGAGGGGGCGCUGCGGCGGGGACGGCUGCACGGCGCGGCGCGACUCCGACGCGACGGCGACGGCACGCUCUCUCCUCCGGCAGUUGACUCCUCCGGUGGUCACCUUCUCCCCUGCUUUGGGAGGAAGUCUGAGAGGAUGGUGGUUCAGAUACAGAGUGAAUGAGCAGACAUGUACAAGAUGAUGGCUUUUGCAGGAGCAACAAAUGUUGAUCUCUGAACCAUUGUAUAUUGCUGAUGUAACCAUUUGGUCUAGGAGUGGGUGUGGCAGCUCACAUUUAUUUUUAUAGCUCAAGUGAAUCAUGACAUAGUUUCAUCUUUUUCUUUUUUUAUUUUCAAAUUUCACUACUAUGACUGUAUUUAGUUGUCUCUGUAUUGUCAAGUGACCUCAAGCUUUGUUGGGUGAUGCCUCCUUGCCUUAAACCGGAUACAGGCCUUGAUGAUACUGCAAUAAUUUUGUUUUAAUGAUUAAUCAAUGUGGUUUUCGCGUAA
Molecule: long non-coding RNA, 602 nt
Organism: Oryza sativa Japonica Group (Japanese rice)
Lineage: Eukaryota; Viridiplantae; Streptophyta; Magnoliopsida; Poales; Poaceae
Source: RefSeq, a predicted model, not a curated record